UACGUAGGGUGCGAGCGUUGUCCGGAAUUAUUGGGCGUAAAGGGCUCGUAGGCGGUCUGUCACGUCGGGAGUGAAAACUCAGGGCUUAACCCUGAGCCUGCUUCCGAUACGGGCAGACUAGAGGUAUGCAGGGGAGAAUGGAAUUCCUGGUGUAGCGGUGAAAUGCGCAGAUAUCAGGAGGAACAUCGGUGGCGAAGGCGGUUCUCUGGGCAUUACCUGACGCUGAGGAGCGAAAGUGUGGGGAGCGAACAGG
RNAcentral lists this ribosomal RNA (253 nucleotides) under uncultured bacterium. RNAcentral describes it as "partial 16S ribosomal RNA". It matches the Rfam family "Bacterial small subunit ribosomal RNA", at positions 524 to 776 of the family's 1533-position model. The record is from RNAcentral.